UUCGGGUGGCUCCGCCCACAGCAGGCAGCUUCUCAAGCCACGCCUGCGCAGGUCUUCGGCGAGUGGCCCGGGUUAGCUUCCCCAUAAGUGCCAGGUGAUUGUCAGCUAAUGACAGAGAAGACAAAUGGAAAACAUCUGGACAUUUGAAGGGCAAUGACCAUAAACUGCUUCUCAGAUACUGGAGUCUGAGCACACCAUCUGUUGACUAAGUGAAUAGUUGACCUGAGAAGAAAGUUGCUCAAGAGGGAAGUGCCCUGAGAAAAAGCCACUGAGAGAGGAGUGUCAUCUGGGUUGGGAACCCAAAGCAAGCAACCAUCCAGAUCCUGAGGGGGUCAUUUUCUUGCUUUUGAUGUAGUAUGGGAAGCAUCCAGUUUUCAUAGAAUGUAGAAUAAAAUUAUACUAAUAUA
Long non-coding RNA from Cebus imitator (Panamanian white-faced capuchin), 407 nucleotides. RefSeq lists it as uncharacterized. NCBI's taxonomy places the organism in Eukaryota, Metazoa, Chordata, Mammalia, Primates, Cebidae. The transcript is spliced from 3 exons. The record is from RefSeq and is a predicted model, not a curated record.